GUCAAUUUCAAAUAAAACUGGCAUUAGAAAGUGACCAAUUUUAGAAUUAUGAAAAGUUUUCUUUGGAAGCCAGUCAAACUGGAAACAGUUAAUGUCUAAAACCGUUCAUUAACGAGUAUCUAUCGGGUUUACAUUUCUGGCUCUAAUAAAAAUCUUGCAGCAGUAACUUACAGUUCGAAAAAUCUGCAGCCAGGGUAAAGUUUCCAAGUUUCCAAACUUUGUGGAGUUUUUAUUUAAACUUCUUCCUUAGCUAGACAUUGAAAAACUUUCUCAGCUAUUAACCACUGCCCUCGCAUAUACACCAAUCCCUUAAACGGAAUCACUUCGGUUGGAACAAUGAAUCAUCCCGACUAAAAGCUAAAAGCCAAAGAAAUAUUCACUGUUAUCCAGACCUGAAAAUCGGAACUGAUGGGCCCACUUGGCAGUCUUCACGUGAAGCGGACGUUCGGAAACAUAAUUCGACGGAAAAUCAAUCCAGAUUAGCGAAUAUGAACGAAAUUUUAAUAUCGGUUCGCACAUGCAGUCGAAAUCCCAUUAAAAACUUUUAAUAAUUUUAGGGAAUUUA
Dendroctonus ponderosae (mountain pine beetle) is the source of this 565-nucleotide long non-coding RNA. RefSeq lists it as uncharacterized. The transcript has 2 exons. NCBI's taxonomy places the organism in Eukaryota, Metazoa, Arthropoda, Insecta, Coleoptera, Curculionidae. The record is from RefSeq and is a predicted model, not a curated record.